This 815-nucleotide ribosomal RNA is filed under the name Distomus variolosus. Its description in RNAcentral is "SSU rRNA". It matches the Rfam family "Eukaryotic small subunit ribosomal RNA", at positions 439 to 1258 of the family's 1831-position model. Lineage: Eukaryota; Metazoa; Chordata; Ascidiacea; Stolidobranchia; Styelidae. The record is from RNAcentral.
AAUUACCCAUUCCGACACGGGGAGGUAGUGACGAAAAAUAACAAUACAGGACUCAAACGAGGCCCUGUAAUUGGAAUGAGUACAUUCUAAAACUCUUAACGAGUAUCCAUUGGAGGGCAAGUCUGGUGCCAGCAGCCGCGGUAAUUCCAGCUCCAACAGUGUAUGCUAAAGUUGUUGCGGUUGAAAAGCUCGUAGUUGGAUUUUGGGUGGGCGCAGUCGGUCCGUCGCAGGGCGUGCUACUGGCUGCGCUCGCCUCGCCUUCGGUUCUCCGUCGGUGCUCUUGACUGAGUGUCGUCGGUGGCCGAUAAGUUUACUUUGAAAAAAUUAGAGUGUUCAAAGCAGGCUGCUCGCCUGAAUAGUGUUGCAUGGAAUAAUGGAAUAGGACCUCGGUUCUAUUUUGUUGGUUUUCGGAGCGCGAGGUAAUGAUUAAGAGGGACAGACGGGGGCGUCCGUACUCUGCCGUUAGAGGUGAAAUUCUUGGAUCGGCGGAAGACGAACUACUGCGAAAGCAUUCGCCAAGAAUGUUUUCUUUAAUCAAGAGCGAAAGUCAGAGGUUCGAAGACGAUCAGAUACCGUCCUAGUUCUGACUAUAAACGAUGCCAACUAGCGAUCGGGAGGCGUUACCAUGACGACCUUCCCGGCAGCUUCCGGGAAACCAAAGUCUUUGGGUUCCGGGGGAAGUAUGGUUGCAAAGCUGAAACUUAAAGGAAUUGACGGAAGGGCACCACCAGGAGUGGAGCCUGCGGCUUAAUUUGACUCAACACGGGGAAACUCACCCGGCCCGGACACAGGUAGGAUUGACAGAUGAGAGCUCU